UCAGCUGCCUGUAAUCAGCUAGCCAAUGAAUGACCCAGGAGGCCUGCUGAUGGCACAAAAGCCAGCUCGACGGUUGGGAAGAGCGAGUGCCCGGGCUGCGCUGUUCGCGUCAGCUGCCACGGGGCCACUGAAAUUGAAUCCGCCGUCCUGUAAAUUGGUUACAGAAACCCAGUUCAGAAGGAGACAGCAAGUCAGAAUGAUCAAAAGCAGGAGGGCCUAAUACCAAUGGACACCUCAGUAAAACAAUUGUAAAAUUUGAGCCACUGCCAGGAGCACAGAGAUAUCCGAGGAUCUCUGUUUAUACACAGAGCUGGAAUCUGCAGAGCGGGCCAUAAAGAUGGUUUUGUUUGGGGGGUUGUGGUUUUCAAUCUGCCGGGGACAACACAUUUUUUUUUUUAAUUCUUCAUGGAUUUAUCUCUUCUAAAUUUGAGCGAAUCACUAGCCCAUACAACUUCUUCAAGCCUUUACAGAUUCUUAAUAUUAGCUCUACAUUUUUAAUUAAUAACAGGAUAGUAGUGCAUCAGGGAAUCACAUUACAGAAGACGUACGCAUGAAGCAAAUGUUUAUUUUUAAUGAUUGGAAUAUUUGGCGGUGUCUAGAGGGGAAGCAGCAGAAAGGAGAGGUAUCUGCUGCCACCCCCGAGCCCUCACCCCCAGUGACAGUUGGGGCUGACCCCGUUCUGAGCCUGGGCAGGCACUUCCUGGGAAGGAACUGCUCAACCAUGUGAGAUGAAUUAACUGUUUAGGGCAAAGGAACCUGAUACGCUUAGUUUCUUCUCACACCAGAGUGGGAUUGUCAAAUUGGAGUUGAGGGCAAGGCAAUGACCCAUAUAAUUUAGAGAUGGUGGGGGAGGGAAAAGAUAGUUUGGGUGUAUAUGUUAUGGCUAAAUACCAAACAAAGGCUACCAUCCAAGACAGGGUAGAAUAACUAGAAACUAAUGAAUUAAGAAUGCUUUGUGCAUCCUUCUCGUCUGAAAGAUAAUGAUUUCUUGAAGGAAAAUGGAAUCCCUGGAUGGCAGACCUCAGCACUGGAGAAUGUUGACUCAGCCUGCUAAAUUUAAGACUGUAGUCUUUUUCUGGGAAGGCAAACGGGUCUUCCCUUCCCCGGGAUCACUAUUGUCCUUAAAAAGAAGCCAAAUAGCAAGUCAGUCAUUUCUUGGUUUCUUGGGAGACUAAUGCCAUGGAAACAGGAUGUUAGGUAUUCGGGGAACAGGCGUCACACCUUUCAUUUCAGGUGCCUUGGCUCAUGCGCCAUAUUUAUUGAUGAACCUCCUAUUAUACGGACUUUCUCAUUUGAAAGGGGUGUUGCUCUCUUGCGUCUCUGCUGGAAGAAGUGCCAGAAACCCUCUCUUCCCUCCUCUCCUCUCUCUCCACAUGGUGCCAGCUUGCUUAUUUCUCCAAGUUGCGGUGCAGCUCGCACCUACUUUGAGGGUCUUCUUGAACUAGUUCUAUAUCCCUUCACCAACAGAACAAACCCCACCCUCUCUGUACUCUCGAAGCACAUUUAUUAGCAAGAGCUAAGUUGCUUUAUCUCUCAGAGCCUCUGCUUCUUCAUCAGGAGAGUGGAAAUUAGCAUGCCUGCAAAGGCGAUCUAAGAAAAAUAAAUCACAUGGAAGACAACACACAGGAAUGAGGGCAUAGCGGCUAUUUAAUAAAUGUGGUUUCCUCUCGUCUCUCUAUAUUGCUAUUAUCAAAUAUGUGUUUUAUUGUGUUUGCUUGUUUGUUUGUUUGUUUGCUUGCUUUUUCUAGGGCCACUCCAGCAGCAUAUGGAGGUUCCCAGGCUAGGGGUCGAAUCAGAGCUGUAGCCACCAGCCUACAUCAGGGCCACAGCAACGCAGGAUCCAAGCCGCGUCUGUGACCUACACCACAGCUCACGGCAACGCCGGAUCCUUAACCCACUGGGCAAGGCCAGGGAUUGAACCCACAACCUCAUGGUUCCUAGUCGGAUUCGUUAACCACUGAGCCACGACAGGAACUCCUAUUGUGUUCUUUUUACUUUUGUCCCAGUAUUAGUUUCUUGGGUGCAAAGAACAUGUCUUUUGUUCAUUUCUGUAAGCCCAGAAUAUAGCAUAAAGCCUAGUACAUAGUACAUACGUAAUGUUGGAUGAAUGACUUAAUGAUAAUGAAUUAAUGAAUUUAUUUGAUAAAUAGUAAGCACUUGCUAUGGGCCAAGUAAUUUCCUAGGUAUUGAGAUGUGAUGUGCACAAGACAGAGAGAACAUGUACUCCCCCAGAAAUUAGUCCAAGGGAUGUGGGAGGAGUGGGUAAGGACAAUAAAUAAGCAAGCGAAUGGCAGUACCUUGAUUUGAGGAGGGCGUUAUUAUAUGCUGUGCUCAGAGACGGAGGGACGGAUGAAGGGAUAGAUGCAUGAGUGGCUGGAGGGAUGGAUGGGAAGAUGGAAGGAUGGAGGGAAGGAUUGCAAAUGAGAAUUUCCGAAUGAAAUUGAAAAAGGACACUCCUAGUAACCCUACAUGUGCCCAGGUGAACUAACCCUUAAAUCUGGAUCCUCACGGGCCCCUCACUGGCACUGGCACUAUCUCACACUAGCAUUGGCACUGACACACGGUUGCCUUUAAAGGCUCAUGAUUCAUACAAAAGCCUUUCUGGAAACCAAGGACACUGCCCCAGUCUUAAUGGCUGCCUGCUUUCCGUCUUGCUAUGGCUGCCACUGGUGGCGACCCUUCUCCCCGGCCAGGCUCACCAUGGCCUUUAGCUCGCCUUCUGUCUGCUCUUUCCUGCUCCUCUUAUGCAAAGAGCCCUCUUCCCUCCACUCCAAGACCCUCUGUAGGAGCCAAUGAAUGUCUUUACCUCCGUGGCCAGUUUGAAUCUAACAGGUUACACCCUCCCCCUGCAAGAAGGAGUUUGAGAUGAAACAUCCUGGGUGUCCACGUAGCUCUCUCCUACUUGACUUUAAAUCAUCAGCCGCUGGAGGGGCAUUCACAGCCAGAAAAUAGCUUCCUUCUUCCAACACACCACAGCAUCACAGUCCCAAGUAAAAUGAGAAGCACUUUGUUUUAUUCUUCAAUAAAAGCAGUGACUUUAAAGCCCAAGAUUUCCACUUGCUCUUAGAAUAUGGCAUGUUUCUCCCUUCAUGUAAGGGCUUCUGUUGCAGGGGAACGAAAGGCUAAGAUGGCAAAGCGGCUUCAUCAAGGGAACAGUCAAUGUCCUUAGCAGCCCCCACAAGAGAAAAGGGCCGAGAGCACCCAGUCUGACAGACCCCUUCCAGAGCAAUAGUCAGUUUCCGUCUCUGUCUCAGGACCCUCUAGGGUCCAGCGCCACUCGCCUUUCUGUUGCCUUGUACCGCUGUACCUCUACCUACCUGGUCUCAGACCCCACUCUUCUGACAGCCUCCACUUGAGCCAAAUGAGAGCAGCAACCAUGCCUCAGACAGAACAAAACCUGUCUGGCACACUUGCUGUUUGCCCCACAUAAAAUGCCCUCUCUCAUCUUUCCUGUUCAAAGGCUGUCUACCUUUCCAGGGCCAGGGCCAUGGUCAUUGUCUCUAUUGAAUCUUCUCAAAUCUCCUCAGCCAGUAAGCACAUUUCCCCUUUGUGUAGAACUUGUCACACUAAUUACAUGGCAUAGUCCUAUCUGCUUUGUAUCAAUAUUCGUGAUCAAUGUGCCUUGAAUUAUGAAAAAGAACUCUGAUGUCAAAAACACUCUCAUAUAUAGUCUUUGCACCAAUGGAUCUUAGCAUGAUGCAAUUGAAACACGGAGGCGCUACGGGUAAAUGCUUACUGAAUGAGUGAAUUAAUUAGUUAAUUAAUUAAUAUGUCAUUGUACGGAAGGGCUCAUCUUUGAAACAGGUUUUCCUUCAUCACACAUCUAAUAACUACAAAGACGAGGAAGUUAAUUUUUUUUCAUCUUCAGGGUUUAAUUGUAAGUCCCUUGAGCUAGAUUUUUCUAUUAAAACACUUUUCAAAAGUCCCCCAGGCUUUGUGAAUAAGACUAAUGGAAAUUUCAUUUCCACCAUGGCUACUUACUUUCUAAUGGAAAUUUCUAAAGGUGCUUUUCUUCACUUUGCCAGACAAAAGACUAUCUUUAUUUUAUAUCGAUAUCUUUAAACUUUCAGAAACACUGAUUCUAAUGCAUAACCAAAGCCAAAGCUGUCAUUUAAAAAAAAUCUUAAAUCUCCGAGAUAGUGAGAGAAAGAGAUUUAGCCCCAUUUCCCUAUAAUUAGGAGAUUUCCAAUGAGCCAGCUAUGUGGCAACUUUUACAGAGAUAUGGAAAUAAAUUUCACUUCUGAAAAUUGAGGCCAGGUGAGCUAAUUAUUAAUUUACAUUCAGGUUUUAAUUCCCAGAGACUCUCUCUGGCCAACUUUAUAGUCAAUAACUCAUUCCCUCACAAAAUGAGUAAUUAAAGAACCAGAGAGAGGUUUUAUAAAGAUGAACUUCGACAGGCUAGUCAGUAACAUGGGCUCUGGGGGUAAUAUUUACGUUAAGCAGCCCCCCAGCACUAUAUUAAAAUGCUGACUCUUCCACGUGUCUUUUUAAAUCUAUUUUAUUUUGAAAAAACUAGAUCUUGUCCUACUAGGCAGUCUCUUUGAAGAGAAAGUAAAGGCUAUGAGAAAUGUGCUCUAUCUAAAUUUACCUGGCUAGUUACUAGAAAAUUAAUUGUCAUCUACUGAAACCAUAGCUUUGAUCUAGUUUCUUCUGGUUCCAAAAGGAAUGUGCUUUGCUUCUCAGAUGGCCUGGACCAGAUAAGCUGAAAUAGAUGAAGGGGCCCCUGUGAUCCCAAGUGAGUUCCCUUAUCUGGUUCCUUUAUCUGGAACUCUGAUACAUACCAGGUAUGUUUUUUCCAUUGAGGUAGAAUGCACAUAACAUGCAAAGAGGUCCUACUAUUUGGCACAAGGAAUUAUAGCCAGUCUCUUGGGAUUGAACGUGAUGGAAGAU
RNAcentral lists this long non-coding RNA (4890 nucleotides) under Sus scrofa (pig). Its description in RNAcentral is "lncRNA (ENSSSCG00000062573.1)". Lineage: Eukaryota; Metazoa; Chordata; Mammalia; Artiodactyla; Suidae. The record is from RNAcentral.